This 305-nucleotide ribosomal RNA is filed under the name uncultured bacterium. Its description in RNAcentral is "bacterial SSU rRNA". It matches the Rfam family "Bacterial small subunit ribosomal RNA", at positions 333 to 653 of the family's 1533-position model. The record is from RNAcentral.
CUAAGCCUACGGGGGGCAGCAGUGGGGAAUAUUGCACAAUGGGCGAAAGCCUGAUGCAGCAACGCCGCGUGAAGGAAGAAGGCCUUCGGGUCGUAAACUUCUGUCCUUGGGGAAGAAGAACUGACGGUACCCAAGGAGGAAGCCCCGGCUAACUACAUGCCAGCAGCCGCGGUAAUACGUAGGGGGCAAGCGUUAUCCGGAUUUACUGGGUGUAAAGGGGGCGCAGACGGCAAUGCAAGCCAGGAGUGAAAGCCCGGGGCCCAACCCCGGGACUGCUCUUGGAACUGCAUGGCUGGAGUACAGGG